RNAcentral lists this ribosomal RNA (397 nucleotides) under uncultured bacterium. Its description in RNAcentral is "partial 16S ribosomal RNA". It matches the Rfam family "Bacterial small subunit ribosomal RNA", at positions 523 to 918 of the family's 1533-position model. The record is from RNAcentral.
AUACGUAGGUGACAAGCGUUAUCCGGAUUUACUGGGCGUAAAGGGCGUGUAGGCGGUCUUGCAAGUCAGAAGUGAAAUUCCUGAGCUCAACUCGGGCGCUGCUUCUGAAACUGCAGGACUUGAGUGCUGGAGGGGAUGGCGGAAUUCCUAGUGGAGCGGUAAAAUGCGCAGAUAUUAGGAAGAACACCGGUGGCGAAGGCGGCUAUCUGGACAGUAACUGACGCUGAGGCGCGAAAGCGUGGGGAGCAAACAGGAUUAGAUACCCUGGUAGUCUACGCCGUAAACGAUGAAUUCUAGGUGUAGGGGGUAUCGACUCCCUCUGUGCCGCAGUUAACACAAUAAGUAUUCCGCCUGGGGAGUACGGCCGCAAGGUUGAAACUCAAAUGAAUUGACGGGG